RNAcentral lists this transfer RNA (74 nucleotides) under Salmo salar (Atlantic salmon). It matches the Rfam family "tRNA". Rfam says of the family: Transfer RNA (tRNA) molecules are approximately 80 nucleotides in length. Their secondary structure includes four short double-helical elements and three loops (D, anti-codon, and T loops). Lineage: Eukaryota; Metazoa; Chordata; Actinopteri; Salmoniformes; Salmonidae. The record is from Rfam by way of RNAcentral.
GCCCCAGUGGCCUAAUGGAUAAGGCACUGGGCCUCCUAAGCCAGGGAUUGUGGGUUCAAGUCCCAUCUGGGGUG